GUGCUCUUUUUUGCAGUAUCCAAUGCACCCAAGCAACCCUUCACUAUAUCAUCAAUGUAGGUAAAAUCCCUUGCCACUGAGAAAUGAUGAGGCCCCUCAAAAAUGGUGGCUUUCUUUUCAAUAUAUCCUUUGUAAAAGAGAAAUAAGCCAUAUCCGGUCGCCCCCAGGGACCAUAAACAGUGAAAAACCGCAAACCAGUG
This 200-nucleotide unclassified non-coding RNA is filed under the name Hevea brasiliensis (rubber tree). The record is from RNAcentral. Lineage: Eukaryota; Viridiplantae; Streptophyta; Magnoliopsida; Malpighiales; Euphorbiaceae.